ACAUGCAAGUCGAACGAACUCUGGUAUUGAUUGGUGCUUGCAUCAUGAUUUACAUUUGAGUGAGUGGCGAACUGGUGAGUAACACGUGGGAAACCUGCCCAGAAGCGGGGGAUAACACCUGGAAACAGAUGCUAAUACCGCAUAACAACUUGGACCGCAUGGUCCGAGUUUGAAAGAUGGCUUCGGCUAUCACUUUUGGAUGGUCCCGCGGCGUAUUAGCUAGAUGGUGGGGUAACGGCUCACCAUGGCAAUGAUACGUAGCCGACCUGAGAGGGUAAUCGGCCACAUUGGGACUGAGACACGGCCCAAACUCCUACGGGAGGCAGCAGUAGGGAAUCUUCCACAAUGGACGAAAGUCUGAUGGAGCAACGCCGCGUGAGUGAAGAAGGGUUUCGGCUCGUAAAACUCUGUUGUUAAAGAAGAACAUAUCUGAGAGUAACUGUUCAGGUAUUGACGGUAUUUAACCAGAAAGCCACGGCUAACUACGUGCCAGCAGCCGCGGUAAUACGUAGGUGGCAAGCGUUGUCCGGAUUUAUUGGGCGUAAAGCGAGCGCAGGCGGUUUUUUAAGUCUGAUGUGAAAGCCUUCGGCUCAACCGAAGAAGUGCAUCGGAAACUGGGAAACUUGAGUGCAGAAGAGGACAGUGGAACUCCAUGUGUAGCGGUGAAAUGCGUAGAUAUAUGGAAGAACACCAGUGGCGAAGGCGGCUGUCUGGUCUGUAACUGACGCUGAGGCUCGAAAGUAUGGGUAGCAAACAGGAUUAGAUACCCUGGUAGUCCAUACCGUAAACGAUGAAUGCUAAGUGUUGGAGGGUUUCCGCCCUUCAGUGCUGCAGCUAACGCAUUAAGCAUUCCGCCUGGGGAGUACGGCCGCAAGGCUGAAACUCAAAGGAAUUGACGGGGGCCCGCACAAGCGGUGGAGCAUGUGGUUUAAUUCGAAGCUACGCGAAGAACCUUACCAGGUCUUGACAUACUAUGCAAAUCUAAGAGAUUAGACGUUCCCUUCGGGGACAUGGAUACAGGUGGUGCAUGGUUGUCGUCAGCUCGUGUCGUGAGAUGUUGGGUUAAGUCCCGCAACGAGCGCAACCCUUAUUAUCAGUUGCCAGCAUUAAGUUGGGCACUCUGGUGAGACUGCCGGUGACAAACCGGAGGAAGGUGGGGAUGACGUCAAAUCAUCAUGCCCCUUAUGACCUGGGCUACACACGUGCUACAAUGGAUGGUACAACGAGUUGCGAACUCGCGAGAGUAAGCUAAUCUCUUAAAGCCAUUCUCAGUUCGGAUUGUAGGCUGCAACUCGCCUACAUGAAGUCGGAAUCGCUAGUAAUCGCGGAUCAGCAUGCCGCGGUGAAUACGUUCCCGGGCCUUGUACACACCGCCCGUCACACCAUGAGAGUUUGUAACACCCAAAGUCGGUGGGGUAACCUUUUAGGAACCA
This 1433-nucleotide ribosomal RNA is filed under the name Lactiplantibacillus plantarum. RNAcentral describes it as "bacterial SSU rRNA". It matches the Rfam family "Bacterial small subunit ribosomal RNA". The record is from RNAcentral. Lineage: Bacteria; Bacillati; Bacillota; Bacilli; Lactobacillales; Lactobacillaceae.